GUAAUGAUAAAAGGCCUUUUGGUCAGCUACUGAAUCGUACCAGACGAAAGGGAUGGAGAUCUGAAAGAAACAGAGCAAUACAUGUGGGUCGUGAAAGAGGGUUAGAUCUGUAGAUCCAUCAAAUCAGACAGUAAACAGGGUCUGUGAUAGUUGUUGGGUUUUUGCUAUUCUUCUCUUCUUUUUCUUGAGAGAAGAUGAAGAAGAUGGAUAAUAGAUAAAGAGGGGAAAUUGAAGAGCAAUAAGUAGCAGUAACAAAUAAAAAUAAAAGGAAUAAAAAAAAAACCAACAAAAAAAUAAAUAAAUAAAUAAAGCUUUGAGUGUGAUUGAACAAACUGAAACUCUCUCUCUUUGUAGUCCCUUUUGGUCUUUCUCAGCACUGAGCAGACAAACCCUAUAAAAGAAAACGAACAAAGCGAUGGCCGAGAGCCAGCAAUGCAAAUGGGCAGCCAUGGGCUCCACUUAUAAUCACAGCCAGACAAGCUAGUUUGUUCAUACAGCUUGAGUCUUGACAGAAUAAAUAAAUUUAUUUAAUUAAUUAAUUAUUAAAAAAAAAAAAAAAAAACCCUUCCGCUAAAAAUGCCCUUCAACUAAAU
Molecule: long non-coding RNA, 593 nt
Filed under: Vitis vinifera (wine grape)
Lineage: Eukaryota; Viridiplantae; Streptophyta; Magnoliopsida; Vitales; Vitaceae
Description: long non-coding RNA (VVIN_LNC007735)
Source: RNAcentral